Molecule: long non-coding RNA, 1641 nt
Organism: Bombus pascuorum
Lineage: Eukaryota; Metazoa; Arthropoda; Insecta; Hymenoptera; Apidae
Exons: 2
Source: RefSeq, a predicted model, not a curated record
UUUUAUAGUUACGAGAUACAAUGUACGACUAAUUGCUAUUACAAAAUCGCCCAAGGCUUUUACAGAGUACUGUACGCAAACGUGAUCGACGGGAGUAAAAUUGUUAGAGACUUAGUUCACGUGUGGUCUCCCGUGUAGCAAAGUUGAAACAUAUACACGACCCAAACGCACCCGAACCGUCUACGAGCUAAAGUGGGCGGCGUUAUUCUUAGCGAGUAGGGAUACGAUGAACUUGCUUGCCCGAACCGUUUUGCUUGAUUUUUUAACGGUCGCGUCACGAGAGCAACGAAGAGAAAUAUAAAGAUAAAAUAUCGGCUACUGCAGCAGAAACUUGCUGGAAUGCGAACAAAUGAAUAGAAGGAGUCCAGAAGGAAGAAGAAGGAAAAAGAGGGAGGAUGAUAUCGAAUAAAGCGUAGGAGCUAGUUGAAGCGUGAAACGGGAAAGAAAACCGACGAGUACGGCGCCGAACGAGAUGGAUAAGCUUACCAGAAACGGUGGGAACCGGCGAGUGAGGUAGAAAGAGAAAGAAAAGACAAGUGAAUCUUCCUCGCGAUGAAUGGAACUAGAAAAUAUGAAUGGUCUUGGUCAGCGUUUUCGAGUUAUAGCGUUCAACGAGAUAUCCACUAUAUCAAUGUGUAUGUAUUGUCCAUUUCAAAAUAUUUCAAAUGUCGAAUAAUUUGUAAAUGAUGCGUUAAUAUGAAAUGUUAAUUUUGUUUAUACAUCGUUGAUUUUUUAAGAUGGUCUCGAAUAAUUCGUAAAUAACAAACGAAUGCUUUGUCGGUAUAAUGAUAUGAGGAAAAAACGAAACAAAAUGACAAGGGACUUAGAAUAAACGAUUUAAGAAAUGAUAUCUCUAUAUCCAAGAUUUUGGAUAAAAAAAGAGAGGUACAUAUUGUCAACUUUUUAUAAGAAAAAAAUAUUAAUGAUAGUGUUACAAAUGAUUCUAUGUUAGGACGUAAAAUUUGUAGUACUACGUUUGACGAGUUAAUAUAAAAUGUUACUCGACUAUUAGAAUCGAAGCCAAAAAAUACACUCACCGUUUGUUGUUGCUAUAACUGGAUUGUUCACAGUGAUCCAAAUCUGGAAUUAAAUAAAAGAUAAGAUUAGUUGGUUGAUGUAUAAGAAUAAAAUACAUGUAUAGAAAAUUAAAUUAAAUAAUAGAUACAUAUAUAAAAAUAUAUAUUCUACAAGCAUACAUUUCUUCAUUUUCGAUCAGUCGAACGAUCUGCAAGCAUUCCUUCAUUUGUAAAUAUCCUAGAUAGAAAGAGUUCUUAUAUUAAACGCUAUGUUGACCGGAUAGUUAGAUAUGAGAAAAAUAUAAGAACAUGAAAUCGAGCAGUAACGAGUAUAUUUUGCGUAAAAGGUAAAAGAAAAGGUGACCGCAAUACGAAAUAGGGUCGCUAGAAGACCGGAACGCCUUUCCUCCUUAUUGCGUUCACUGUACAGUAUUUCCGCAGGAAGUUGGUGCAGUGUCUGUGACGAGUUCGUUCAUUUUACUGGUUACCAACUUCUUACUAGUACAUAGUUUAUCCUUUUGACUAUUAUUUAUAAACAAAGUAUAUCUUUUACUUAUAAAUAAUCUAUACUAUACCAUAUCUACACUAUAUCUUUUAUAAAUAAAGUAAGUCUUCUUAUGUAAAA